CUGUUGAUCAGAGUUAAGUAUAUGAGAAGAGGAGCUAAGGGAGUUAAGGCAUUAGAGGAAGAGAUGAAGUAUAGAAGAAGAGAUGAGUUUGGGUUGAGUGAUCCGUACAAGGCCGUACAGGCCGUACCAUCCGUACAUAGGACAUCAACCAAACUCACCAAGGUAAAGAUAAGUUACCAAGGUAACUUAGUGAAGAGGAGGAUAAGCUUUGGAGUGGAUAAGACCGCGGAGGAAGAAGGGAUGAGGCGCGGACUGACAGUCUGGCAUGGACUGGAAAGUAAACAGCAUCUAUGGGAAGAUGCUAGAUGCCUCACACACUUGGAGAAGCUCAUUGGCCGGAUUCAAAUAUAGGCUCCUCCUCCUUUUGACUUCACAUGCUUUCCUUAUCCUUUUGUGAUCGAAACCCUAAGCUCUCUUUACUAUAUAUUGUAACUCAAGGUCAUUAAUAAAGAUUAGACAGUUCUAAACAAUCUUUCUCUUUACUCAUUUCAUCAUGAUUCUCCAUUAGUGUCUAAUCAGUCUCCUAAAUCUCUUAUUCUCUUCCUUAAUCCUAUUUUAAACUCAGAUUAAUCUUUAUAUUCCUAAAAGUCAUAUGGUAUCAGAGCCAGGUUGAUUGCAAUCUGAGUUCGUGAGUGAUUCUCUUAAGGAUUCAAGUUUGAAACUUUAAGAGAACAAGUGAGUGUGUUUGAGAGUUUCUUGAGAGUUCAAAAGCUCAAGGUGUUUUGUGUGUGUCUUGGUGGUCCGCGGGAGGUUCAUUUGAAGACUCAAGAGUGUAUCUGUGUUCUAGAGAGCAGCGUGGAUUCUCAGUUCAAGAUCUAACCGGUUGAUUCAAGCUGUAGACGUCAAGCUGUUCAAGAUGGAUAGUGGCAUGAAGAUGAAGGUCGCGGUGACAUUCAAAGGAACCAACUACCUAGUCUGGUCUAGGAUGGUGAAGACUGCUGUGGGAAGCAAGGGUUUGUGGAAGCAUAUCACAUCUGGUGAGGCUCCAAUGGCGAUUACUCAGGAGGGUGAAAAGGAGAGCCCCGAGGAGAGUGUUGUAGAGAAGUGGCAACAAGAAGACAUGAUGGUGAUGUCAGUUCUUCAUGCCUCUUUGGAGCCGGCUAUACUAGAUGCUUAUAGCUACUGUGAGACAGCCAAGGAGCUGUGGGAUACUCUACAGAAAGUGUAUGGAAACACUUCUAACCUGAACCGAGUGUUUGAAGUCAAGAAGGCGAUCAAUGGGUUAACCCAAGAUGACAUGGAGUUCACUAAGCACUUGGGGAGGUUCAGGUCUCUUUGGUCUGAGUUAGAGAUGCUGAGGCCAACCACGGUUGAUCCAGAGCUUCUAAAUGAGAGACGUGAGCAGGACAAGGUCUUUGGGUUGCUGCUCACGUUGAAUGCAAGUUACAGUGGUCUCAUCCAGCACAUGCUAUGGUCCGAGAAGCUGCCUGACCUUGAAGAGGUGUGUGCUAAGAUACAGAAGGAGCAGGGCUCAAUGGGUUUGUUUGGAGGCAAGGGAGACUUAUCUCUUGCAAAUGCUGUGCAAUCUGACCGGGAAGAGCCUCCUCAAGCCAACAAAGCUGGUUACAACAAGUAUGAGGAUAGGAAGUUCAAUGGGAAUUGUGAUCAUUGCAAGAAGCAUGGCCACAAGAAGAGUCAGUGCUGGAUACUCCAUCCUCACUUGAAGCCGGCUAAGUUCAUGAAUGAGAGAGAGGCAAGAGCUCACAUGACUGAAGGAUCAAGCGGAGCAGGGCCAUCUAACCGAGGAGCUGAAGUGGAGAACCGUGAAGGAGAUGGAAAGGCUUUGGUGACCUAUACUGGAGCUAUCAACCCCGAGGCAAUGAUCAAGACUUCAUCAGGAGAUCCGAGAUGGAUGCACUCAUCAAAAUGCUCAAGGAUAAUGGUAACAUUCAUGGGUAUUCAUUUGGUGCUUCUAUGAUUGCUAGAACUAUAGAAAUGACUCCUAAUGUGGCUGAGAUUGCUAGGACUGAUAGUAAGACUGGAAUUGAGCAUUGCAUUGAUAGAAAUGCUAGGAUUAAUGCAUAUAGAUCACAAAUUAGCAUCUGCCAUAGUGCUAGCAAUACAUCCAAACCAUUGAUUAUAGAUUCAGGUGCAUCUCAUCAUAUGAUUAGUGACACCAACCUGAUUAAGGAUAUAGAACCUACUAAUGGAUGUGUGAUGAUUGCAAAUGGGGAUAAGAUACCUAUUAAGGGAAUAGGAAACUUGAAACUAUUUGAUAAGAACACUAGAGCUUUUUACAUUCCGGAAUUCACAUCAAAUCUUCUUUCAGUUAAGAAAUGCACUACUGAUUUGAAUUGCAAUGUUAUAUUCAGUCCUAAUGAUGUGAAGUUUCAGGAUAUUGAGAGCAGCCAAUUGAUUGGAAAAGGAGUUACAAAGGGAGACUUAUACAUGCUUGAGAAGCUUGAUCCUGUUUCCAAUUAUAACUGCUCAUUUACUUCUGCUUCUAGUUUGAAUAAAAAUGCAUUGUGGCAUGCUAGAUUAGGUCAUCCCCAUGAGAGGGCUUUAAACUUGAUGUUACCAGGUGUGGUUUUUGAAAAUAAUAAGUGUGAGGCUUGCAUUUUAGGCAAGCAUUGUAAGAAUGUGUUUCCAAGAACAUCUACUGUUUAUGAAAACUGCUUUGAUUUGAUUCAUACUGAUGUGUGGACUGCACCUAGUUUUUCUAGAGAUAAUCAUAAGUACUUUGUCACAUUCAUUGAUGAAAAAUCUAAAUACACCUGGUUAACACUCAUUCCAUCAAAAGAUAGGGUGAUAGAUGCAUUCAAGAACUUUCAAGCUUAUGUGACUAACCAUUAUCAUGCUAGGAUUAAAAUUUUGAGAUCAGAUAAUGGAGGAGAGUACACAAGCUAUGCGUUCAAGAGUCAUCUAGAUCACCAUGGAAUCCUUCAUCAAACAAGCUGUCCCUACACACCACAACAGAAUGGGGUAGCUGAGAGGAAGAACAGGCACUUGAUGGAAGUGGCUCGGUCACUGAUGUUCCAAGCUAAUGUACCUAAGAGAUUCUGGAGUGAUGCUGUAUCCACUGCGUGCUACCUAAUCAACAGGAUGCCUACAAAGGUGUUGAAGGAUCAAGCACCAUUUGAAGUUCUGAACAAGCGCAAGCCAUCCUUGGAAUACAUGAGAGUGUUUGGAUGCUUAUGCUAUGUUCUAGUACCAGGAGAGUUGAGGAACAAGCUAGAAGCAAGAAGCAGAAAGGCAAUGUUCAUUGGCUACUCAACAACUCAAAAAGGAUAUAAGUGUUAUGAUCCAGAAGCUAGAACGGUGCUUGUAUCUAGAGAUGUGAAGUUCAUUGAAGAAAGAGGAUACUAUGAGGAGAAGAAUCAAGAAGAUUUGAAGGAUCUCACAUCAGAUAAGGCUGGAGUCUUAAGAAUCAUUUUGGAAGGUCUCGGUAUCAAGAUGAACCAGGACCAAUCCACAAGAAGUGGAAGACAAGAAGAGAGCUCAACUGCACCAAGUGGAGCUGCUCAAACACCUCACCUUGAUCAUGAGGGGGGAAGUGAACCUGAAACUCAAGAAAAUGGCCAAGAAUGAGUCGGCUUGAGUGAGGAAGAAGAAGGAGAGUUCAACUCAGGUUCUCAUCAUCAAGGUGAGCAAGACCAAGGAGAGGAAGAACAUCAGAGUGAAGCACAAGAACCGCAUACACAAGAUGAGCCGGUUCAAGAGCAAGAACAACCUGUAUUGAGAAGAAGCACAAGACUGAGGGUCCAAGAGGAGCAGGUUCAGAACCAACCAGUAUUGAGAAGAAGCACAAGGCUGAGAAAGGAUCCUUCUACUUGGGUAAACACGCGAGUGUACUACAAUGCCCAAGCUGUGGAGCAUCCUUCUCAAGCUGUGUGUUCCUUUGCUCAAUACCCUGAAGAACAUUGUGCUUUUAUGGUGAACUUGGAUGAGAACUACAUUCCAAGAAGCUAUGAAGAGGCAAUAAUGGAUAAGCAAUGCCCAAGCAGUGGAGCAUCCUUCUCAAGCUGUGUGCUCCUUUGCUCAAUAUCCUAAAGCACAUUGCGCAUUUAUGGUAAAUCUGGAUGAGGGUUAUAUCCUAAGAAGCUAUGAAGAGGCAAUACAAGACAAGGAGUGGAAGGAAUCAGUUGGAGCUGAGGCAGGAGCCAUGAUCAAGAAUGAUACUUGGUAUGAGAGUGAGUUACCUAAAGGGAAGAAGGCUGUGACUAGUAGAUGGAUCUUCACAAUCAAGUAUAAGGCUGAUGGAACAGUUGAGAGGAAGAAGUCAAGACUGGUUGCAAGAGGUUUCACUCAAACUUAUGGAGAGGAUUACAUUGAGACCUUUGCACCAGUAGCUAAACUACACACAAUCCGGAUUGUAUUAAGCUUGGCUGUGAAUCUUGGAUGGGGGUUAUGGCAAAUGGAUGUGAAGAAUGCAUUUCUACAAGGAGAGCUGGAGGAUGAAGUGUAUAUGCAUCCACCUCCAGGCUUGGAGCACUUAGUGAAGAGAGGGGAUGAAGUAUAUAUGCAUCCACCUCCAGGCCUAGAACACUUAGUGAAGAGAGGAAAUGUAUUGAGACUGAAGAAAGCUAUCUAUGGGCUGAAGAAAUCACCAAGAGCUUGGUACAACAAGCUGAGCACUACUCUGAAUGGCCGAGGCUUCAAGAAGUCUGAACUAGACCACACCCUCUUCACUCUCACAACUCCCUCAGGUAUGAUUGCACUCCUUGUGUAUGUUGAUGACAUCAUUAUCACAGGAAGUGAUAAGGAAGGUAUCAUAGCAACCAAGGAGUUUCUUAAAUCCAUGUUUGAGAUUAAAGACUUGGGAGAAAUGAAAUACUUUCUUGGAAUUGAGAUAUGUAGAUCCAAGGAAGGUUUGUUCAUGUCCCAAAGGAAGUAUACACUUGAUCUUUUGAAAGGUGCAGGUGCUUAUGGAGGCAAGACAGCAAGGAUGCCUAUGGAGGAUGGCUACAAAGUCCCACGAGAGGGGGAGAUUGAAGACAGCAAACCUUAUCAGGAUCCUAAACUCUAUAGAAAGCUAGUUGGCAAAUUGAUUUACCUUACCAUAACUAGGCCUGACAUUUGCUUUGCUGUGAAUCAGGUGAGUCAACACAUGCAAGUGCCUAAGGAACAUCAUUGGCGCAUGGUGGAGAGAGCUGUGAAUCAGGUGAGUCAACAUAUGCAAGUGCCUAAGGAUCAUCACUGGCGUAUGGUGGAGAGAAUUCUGAUGUAUCUCAACGGCUCACCUGAUCAAGGAAUAUGGAUGGGUUGCAAUGGGAGCACUGAAGUGGUUGGAUACUGUGAUGCGGAUUGGGCUGGUGAUAGAGCAGACAGGAGAUCAACCACAGGCUAUUGCACAUUCAUUGGAGGCAACUUGGUUACUUGGAAGAGUAAGAAGCAGAAGGUGGUGUCUUGCUCAAGUGCAGAAGCUGAGUAUAGAGCUAUGCUGAAGCUGACCAACGAGCUGGUGUGGAUCAAGGGCAUCUUGAAGCAUUUGGAGAUUGAUCAAGCCACGCCAAUGACAAUGCAUUGUGAUAACCAAGCUGCCAUCCACAUUGCCUCCAACUCGGUGUUCCAUGAGAGAACCAAGCACAUUGAAGUGGAUUGCCACAAGGUGAGGCAGAUGAUCAUCUUAGGAGUCAUCUUGCCAUGCUACACAAGGAGUGAAGAUCAGUUGGCUGAUGUGUUCACCAAGGCUGCAAGACAGAAGACAAUGGAGUCCAUUCACAUCAGGUUGGGCCUCAUUGAUCUUGGGAAGAGAAGGAGCUGAUCCCCUUUGGCUGUGAGGUCUUUACUCUUUUUCCCUUAUCAAGGUUUUAUCCCAAUGGGUUUUCCUUGGUAAGGUUUUUAAUGAGGAAGAUCUCAUAGCUGUCCAAGCUUAGACUUUCACAAAGCUAAGCUUGAGGGGGAGUGUUGAUCAGAGUUAAGUAUAUGAGAAGAGGAGCUAAGGAAGUUAAGGCAUUAGAGGAAGAGAUGAAGUAUAGAAGAAGAGAUGAGUUUGGGUUGAGUGAUCCGUACAAGGCCGUACAGGCCGUACCAUCCGUACAUAGGACAUCAACCAAACUCACCAAGGUAAAGAUAAGUUACCAAGGUAACUUAGUGAAGAGGAGGAUAAGCUUUGGAGUGGAUAAGACCGCGGAGGAAGAAGGGAUGAGGCGCGGACUGACAGUCUGGCAUGGACUGGAAAGUAAACAGCAUCUAUGGGAAGAUGCUAGAUGCCUCACACACUUGGAGAAGCUCAUUGGCCGGAUUCAAAUAUAGGCUCCUCCUCCUUUUGACUUCACAUGCUUUCCUUAUCCUUUUGUGAUCGAAACCCUAAGCUCUCCUUACUAUAUAUUGUAACUCAAGGUCAUUAAUAAAGAUUAGACAGUUCUAAACAAUCUUUCUCUUUACUCAUUUCAUUAUGAUUCUCCAUUAGUUUCUAAUCAGUCUCCUAAAUCUCUUAUUCUCUUCCUUAAUCCUAUUCUAAACUCAGAUUAAUCUUUAUAUUCCUAAAAGUCAUAAGGAAAACUGGGAUCACCUGAUUUGAAAGUGGGAUAGCUUCUUCAUCCUAACUCCUAUGAGAUUUAUUCAACUUCCUAGUGAUUCUCCAUUACUUUAUGUGUCAAAAUCAAGCUUCUUACAUCAAGAUUCAUCUUGGUUUGAUCAGAAUGACAAGGAAGAUGUCAUAUUCCUAAACAGGAAAACUGGGAUCACCUGAUUUGAAAGUGGGAUAGCUUCUUCAUCCUAACUCCUAUGAGAUUUAUUCAACUUCCUAAUGGUUCUCCACUACUUUAUGUAUCCAAUUCAAGCUUCUUACAUCACGAUUCAUCCUGGUUUGAUUAGAAUGACAAAGAAGCUAUCAUAUUCCCAAACAGGAAAAC
RNAcentral lists this long non-coding RNA (6797 nucleotides) under Brassica napus (rape). RNAcentral describes it as "long non-coding RNA (BNAP_LNC003932)". Lineage: Eukaryota; Viridiplantae; Streptophyta; Magnoliopsida; Brassicales; Brassicaceae. The record is from RNAcentral.